Molecule: ribosomal RNA, 487 nt
Filed under: uncultured bacterium
Lineage: Bacteria
Description: SSU rRNA
Rfam family: Bacterial small subunit ribosomal RNA
Source: RNAcentral
AGAAUGAACGUUGGCGGCGUGGAUUAGGCAUGCAAGUCGAGCGAGAAGAGUUUGGUAGCUUGCUAUUGAACUCGGACAGCGGCGAAAGGGAGAGUAACGCGUAGUUAUGUACCCAGGGGUUCGGAAUAGCCACGGGAAACUGUGGGUAAUGCCGAAUAACAUCUCCGGAUCAAAGGUGUGAUUCCGCCCUUGGAGCAGACUGCGUCCUACUAGCUAGUUGGUGGGGUAAUGGCCCACCAAGGCAACAAUGGGUAGCGGGUGUGAGAGCAUGACCCGUCUCACUGGGACUGAGACACUGCCCAGACACCUACGGGUGGCUGCAGUCGAGAAUCUUCGGCAAUGGGCGAAAGCCUGACCGAGCGACGCCGCGUGCGGGAUGAAGGCCCUCGGGUUGUAAACCGCUGUCGUAGGGGAGGAAGGCUCCGUGAAGAACGGGGUUUGACCUAUCCUAGGAGGAAGUACGGGCUAAGUUCGUGCCAGCAGCCGC